This 373-nucleotide ribosomal RNA is filed under the name uncultured eukaryote. RNAcentral's name for it is "partial 18S ribosomal RNA". It matches the Rfam family "Eukaryotic small subunit ribosomal RNA", at positions 592 to 976 of the family's 1831-position model. The record is from RNAcentral.
CAAUAGCGUAUAUUAACGUUGUUGCAGUUAAAAAGCUCGUAGUUGAAUUUUUGCUUGCCGCCGAUGUCGGAACUUCCGUACGUUCGGCGGCGUGCAUCCUUGGGUGGAACCUGUGUGGCAUUAGGUUGUCGUGCAGGGGAUGCUCAUCGUUUACUGUGAAAAAAUUAGAGUGUUCAAAGCAGGCUUACGCCGUUGAAUAUAUUAGCAUGGAAUAAUAAGAUAGGACCUUGGUACUAUUUUGUUGGUUUGCGCACCGAGGUAAUGAUUAACAGGGACAGUUGGGGGUAUUCGUAUUCCAUUGUCAGAGGUGAAAUUCUUGGAUUUCUGGAAGACGAACUACUGCGAAAGCAUUUACCAAGGAUGUUUUCAUUAA